RNAcentral lists this ribosomal RNA (53 nucleotides) under Nocardia sp. NRRL S-836. RNAcentral's name for it is "partial 23S ribosomal RNA". Lineage: Bacteria; Bacillati; Actinomycetota; Actinomycetes; Mycobacteriales; Nocardiaceae. The record is from RNAcentral.
GGAAGAUCGGUAACGGUUGGAGCUGACUGGUACUAAUAGGCCGAGGACUUGUU